RNAcentral lists this ribosomal RNA (429 nucleotides) under Acidobacteriota bacterium. RNAcentral describes it as "Acidobacteria bacterium partial 16S ribosomal RNA". It matches the Rfam family "Bacterial small subunit ribosomal RNA", at positions 355 to 776 of the family's 1533-position model. The record is from RNAcentral. Lineage: Bacteria; Pseudomonadati; Acidobacteriota.
UGGGGAAUUUUGGACAAUGGGGGAAACCCUGAUCCAGCCAUCCCGCGUGUGCGAUGAAGGCCUUCGGGUUGUAAAGCACUUUUGGCAGGAAAGAAACGUCAUGGGUUAAUACCCCGUGAAACUGACGGUACCUGCAGAAUAAGCACCGGCUAACUACGUGCCAGCAGCCGCGGUAAUACGUAGGGUGCAAGCGUUAAUCGGAAUUACUGGGCGUAAAGCGUGCGCAGGCGGUUCGGAAAGAAAGAUGUGAAAUCCCAGAGCUCAACUUUGGAACUGCAUUUUUAACUACCGGGCUAGAGUGUGUCAGAGGGAGGCGGAAUUCCGCGUGUAGCAGUGAAAUGCGUAGAUAUGCGGAGGAACACCGAUGGCGAAGGCAGCCUCCUGGGAUAACACUGACGCUCAUGCACGAAAGCGUGGGGAGCAAACAGG